GGAAGCCUAAACCUUGGAAGCAUCCCCAGCCAAUAACAAAGACAGAUCUUGUGCGGAUGCGUGAUGAAUUUUGGGAUACUGCACCUCAUUAUGGUGGCAGAAAAGAGAUCUGGGAUGCACUUCGAGCUGCUGCAGAAGCUGAUCUGACGCUAGCACAAGCAAUCGUGGAUAGUGCAGGGGUCAUUGUACAAAGUGCUGAUUUAACCAUUUGUUAUGAUGAAAGAGGUGCAAAAUACGAAUUGCCUAAGUAUGUCUUGAGCGAACCAACCAACUUGAUUUGAAGUAAUAUGAGAGAGAGAUGAG
RNAcentral lists this unclassified non-coding RNA (303 nucleotides) under Hevea brasiliensis (rubber tree). The record is from RNAcentral. Lineage: Eukaryota; Viridiplantae; Streptophyta; Magnoliopsida; Malpighiales; Euphorbiaceae.